Molecule: ribosomal RNA, 117 nt
Filed under: Candidatus Hydrogenedens sp.
Lineage: Bacteria; Pseudomonadati; Candidatus Hydrogenedentota; Candidatus Hydrogenedentia; Candidatus Hydrogenedentales; Candidatus Hydrogenedentaceae
Source: RNAcentral
GCCGGCGGCUUUAGCGAUAAGGUCACACCCGUUCCCAUCCCGAACACGGUAGUUAAGGUUGUCAGCGCCCAUGGUACUGCGGGGGCGACCCCGUGGGAGAGUAGGUCGUCGCCGGCG